UACGGGGGGGGCAAGCGUUGUUCGGAAUUACUGGGCGUAAAGGGCUCGUAGGUGGCCAACUAAGUCAGACGUGAAAUCCCUCAGCUUAACUGGGGAACUGCGUCUGAUACUGGAUGGCUUGAGAUUGGAAGAGGGAUGCGGAAUUCCAGGUGUAGCGGUGAAAUGCGUAGAUAUCUGGAGGAACACCGGUGGCGAAGGCGGCUUCCUGGACCAACACUGACACUGAGGAGCGAAAGCCAGGGGAGCAAACGGG
RNAcentral lists this ribosomal RNA (253 nucleotides) under uncultured bacterium. RNAcentral describes it as "partial 16S ribosomal RNA". It matches the Rfam family "Bacterial small subunit ribosomal RNA", at positions 524 to 776 of the family's 1533-position model. The record is from RNAcentral.